GGCCCCGUAGCUCAGCUGGAUAGAGCAACUGCCUUCUAAGCAGUAGGUCGCAGGUUCGAAUCCUGCCGGGGUCGCCA
This 77-nucleotide transfer RNA is filed under the name Methylocystis sp. WRRC1. Its description in RNAcentral is "tRNA-Arg". It matches the Rfam family "tRNA". Rfam says of the family: Transfer RNA (tRNA) molecules are approximately 80 nucleotides in length. Their secondary structure includes four short double-helical elements and three loops (D, anti-codon, and T loops). The record is from RNAcentral. Lineage: Bacteria; Pseudomonadati; Pseudomonadota; Alphaproteobacteria; Hyphomicrobiales; Methylocystaceae. RNAcentral also lists the same sequence under 1 other name.